This 234-nucleotide ribosomal RNA is filed under the name uncultured Glomus. RNAcentral describes it as "partial 18S ribosomal RNA". It matches the Rfam family "Eukaryotic small subunit ribosomal RNA", at positions 548 to 785 of the family's 1831-position model. The record is from RNAcentral. Lineage: Eukaryota; Fungi; Glomeromycota; Glomeromycetes; Glomerales; Glomeraceae.
UUGGAGGGCAAGUCUGGUGCCAGCAGCCGCGGUAAUUCCAGCUCCAAUAGCGUAUAUUAAAGUUGUUGCAGUUAAAAAGCUCGUAGUUGAAUUUCGGGAUCAAUUUGUCGGUCGUGCCUCGGUACGUACUGGCAUUAUUGGUCUCUACCUCUGACAGAACCAUGAUGUCAUUAAUUUGGUGUCAUGGGCAAUCAGGACUGUUACUUUGAAAAAAUUAGAGUGUUUAAAGCAGGC